UGGGCUUAUUGAUUGUAUGUU
Molecule: non-coding RNA, 21 nt
Filed under: Arabidopsis thaliana (thale cress)
Lineage: Eukaryota; Viridiplantae; Streptophyta; Magnoliopsida; Brassicales; Brassicaceae
Source: RNAcentral